This 301-nucleotide ribosomal RNA is filed under the name uncultured bacterium. RNAcentral's name for it is "partial 16S ribosomal RNA". It matches the Rfam family "Bacterial small subunit ribosomal RNA", at positions 509 to 807 of the family's 1533-position model. The record is from RNAcentral.
CAGUCGCCACGGUAAUACGUAGGGUGCAAGCGUUAAUCGGAAUUACUGGGCGUAAAGCGUGCGUAGGCGGCUUCUUAAGUCGGAUGUGAAAUCCCUGAGCUUAACUUAGGAAUUGCAUUCGAUACUGGGAAGCUAGAGUAUGUGAGAGGAUGGUAGAAUUCCAGGUGUAGCGGUGAAAUGCGUAGAGAUCUGGAGGAAUACCGAUGGCGAAGGCAGCCAUCUGGCCUAAUACUGACGCUGAGGUACGAAAGCAUGGGGAGCAAACAGGAUUAGAUACCCGCGUAGUCCCUGUCUCUUAUAC